This 706-nucleotide long non-coding RNA is filed under the name Homo sapiens (human). RNAcentral describes it as "HSALNT0101180". Lineage: Eukaryota; Metazoa; Chordata; Mammalia; Primates; Hominidae. The record is from RNAcentral.
CUCGGAGCCACCCAGCUGGGCCACCCGGGAACUGGCUGAGUCCGCAGAGCAAAGGGGCGGCGGCGGCGCCGAAAGCUGGAGCGCGCUGCGAGCCAGCGGCCACCGCACCGCCGGGAAGCGACGCCCACCUGUUUGCUCAGAUAUUGCCAUUUCCAGGCCAUGACACCUGCACCCUGAAUGGUGACUAGCCUUCUCACCCGAGUGACACAGCAAAACAUUGACUCUCCACUGGCAUCAGACAUACAGGAAUUAUGAAGGAUGAAACCAUCUCCCCCAGGCCUUCAAUAAGUGCAAGUGGAUUGCUUUGUAAACAGAAGUGCAAACUCGUUCCGAUAGUGGUUCCGCACCAGUGCUCGGCAGCCGCCCUGGCACAGCGGGCAGUAGAGACAGCUGCUGCACCUGUCGCCUAAGGCCGAGAGGGCCGGGAGGCCGCUCCUGGAGGGGGCGCACUGACCGGUGAUGCGCUCCUCCAGUCUCCAGGGCAUCUUUAGCUUCUCGGCCUCUGGGCUUCCCAGCUUGCUGCACACCUCGGGCCUGUACCCACUGCUGUCAGUUGAAAGCGUGCAUUCUGGAAAGCCACAGUGGGACAUCCCUAAUGCACACCCUUCCUUCUUCACCUUCUCCCUGGACACCUUUGCUAAGAGAUUUGGCUAAUUUCUUCUCCUGUGGUUGCUGGUAAUUCUCCUGGUAAUUCCUUUGCCCUAAU